GUUUGACCUCGGAUCAGAUAGGGAUACCCGCUGAACUUAAGCAUAUCAUUAAGCCGGAGGAA
Molecule: ribosomal RNA, 62 nt
Filed under: Tamhinispora indica
Lineage: Eukaryota; Fungi; Ascomycota; Dothideomycetes; Tubeufiales; Tubeufiaceae
Description: partial 28S ribosomal RNA
Source: RNAcentral